UACCAGUUCUGUCUGCGACUUCAAGGU
Molecule: non-coding RNA, 27 nt
Filed under: Rattus norvegicus (Norway rat)
Lineage: Eukaryota; Metazoa; Chordata; Mammalia; Rodentia; Muridae
Source: RNAcentral